AAGGAGAAGUCGUAACAAGGUUUCCGUAGGUGAACCUGCGGAAGGAUCAUUGCCGUCUCUAGAACCACCACCGGCGAACCACAGUCCCACCGGAAAGGCCGCUCGCGGCGCGCGGCCCGGGGGAGGACCCCGGGGACGCGCGUCCCGGCGAGCUCCGAACAACCCUCUGGGCGCGGCGAGCGCCAAGGAAUCGAAGCGGAAAGGGCGGCCGCCCCGCCCGGCGCGGGCACGCCCCGAGAGGGGAUGCGGCGCCGCGGCGGGGGAUCCGCCGCCCGUCUGUGAAUCUCUGAGACGACUCUCGGCAACGGAUAUCUCGGCUCUCGCAUCGAUGAAGAACGUAGCGAAAUGCGAUACUUGGUGUGAAUUGCAGAAUCCCGUGAACCAUCGAGUCUUUGAACGCAAGUUGCGCCCGAGGCCGCUCGGCCGAGGGCACGCCUGCCUGGGCGUCACGCCACCCAUCGCCCCCCCGCGGCAUUCCCAUGCGCGGCCGGGGAGCGGAGACUGGCCGUCCGUGCCCGAGCCCUCGGCGCGCGGUCGGCAGAAAAGGAGGGCACCGUGCGGCGCGACACGGCGUGUGGGGGUUGAGAGGCGAUUCGUCGCCGACCGUACGUCGCGCCGGCAUUCCGCCGCGCGGUCUCGCCCGUGGGACCGGACUUCGCCCGCAGCCGCGGGCGCUCGGACCGCGACCCCAGGUCAGGCGUGGCCACCCGCUGAAUUUAAGCAUAUCAAUAAGCGGAGGAGAAGAAACUUACGAGGAUUCCCC
This 763-nucleotide ribosomal RNA is filed under the name Damburneya patens. RNAcentral's name for it is "eukaryotic LSU rRNA". The stretch from base 294 to 449 matches the Rfam family "5.8S ribosomal RNA". The record is from RNAcentral. Lineage: Eukaryota; Viridiplantae; Streptophyta; Magnoliopsida; Laurales; Lauraceae.